AUUGAACGCUGGCGGAAUGCUUUACACAAGCAAGUCGAACGGCAGCACGGACUUCGGUCUGGUGGCGAGUGGCGAACGGGUGAGUAAUGUAUCGGAACGUGCCCAGUCGUGGGGGAUAACGUAGUGAAAAUUACGCUAAUACCGCAUACGAUCUAUGGAUGAAAGCGGGGGAUCGCAAGACCUCGCGCGAUUGGAGCGGCCGAUAUCAGAUUAGGUAGUUGGUGGGGUAAAGGCCCACCAAGCCAACGAUCUGUAGCUGGUCUGAGAAGACGACCAGCCACACUGGAACUGAGACACGGUCCAGACUCCUACGGGAGGCAGCAGUGGGGAAUUUUGGACAAUGGGCGAAAGCCUGAUCCAGCCAUUCCGCGUGCAGGAUGAAGGCCCUCGGGUUGUAAACUGCUUUUGUACAGAACGAAAAGGUUUCUACUAAUACUAGGAGCUCAUGACGGUACUGUAAGAAUAAGCACCGGCUAACUACGUGCCAGCCGCCGCGGUAA
This 500-nucleotide ribosomal RNA is filed under the name uncultured bacterium. RNAcentral describes it as "partial 16S ribosomal RNA". It matches the Rfam family "Bacterial small subunit ribosomal RNA", at positions 30 to 523 of the family's 1533-position model. The record is from RNAcentral.